This 459-nucleotide ribosomal RNA is filed under the name uncultured bacterium. RNAcentral's name for it is "bacterial SSU rRNA". It matches the Rfam family "Bacterial small subunit ribosomal RNA", at positions 29 to 506 of the family's 1533-position model. The record is from RNAcentral.
AUGAACGCUGGCGGCGUGUUUAAGGCAUGCAAGUCGAACGAGUAAGUGGAGCAAUCCACUUGCAAGUGGCAAACGGGUGCGUAACACAUUGGUAACCUGCCCCUAUCUCGUGAACAACCAAUCGAAAGGUUGGCUAAUACACGAUGGUCUGUCAAAGUGAAAUUCUUUGACAGUAAAGAUUUAUCGGAUAGGGAGGGGCCUAUGGCUUAUCAGCUUGUUGGUGAGGUAAAAGCUCACCAAGGCUAUGACGAGUAGCGGGUGUGAGAGCACGACCCGCCUCACUGGGACUGAGACACUGCCCAGACACCUACGGGUGGCUGCAGUCGAGAAUAUUCCUCAAUGCACGAAAGUGUGAAGGAGCGACGCCGCGUGAUUGAUGAAGCCCUUCGGGGUGUAAAGAUCUUUUUUAAGGGACGAAUUAUUGACGGUACCUUAAGAAUAAGAGGUUGCUAACUCUGU